This 253-nucleotide ribosomal RNA is filed under the name uncultured bacterium. RNAcentral describes it as "partial 16S ribosomal RNA". It matches the Rfam family "Bacterial small subunit ribosomal RNA", at positions 524 to 776 of the family's 1533-position model. The record is from RNAcentral.
UACGUAGGGUGCAAGCGUUAAUCGGAAUUACUGGGCGUAAGGCGUGCGCAGGCGGCUUUGCAAGACAGAUGUGAAAUCCCCGGGCUUAACCUGGGAACUGCAUUUGUGACUGCAUGGCUAGAGUGCGGCAGAGGGGGAUGGAAUUCCGCGUGUAGCAGUGAAAUGCGUAGAUAUGCGGAGGAACACCGAUGGCGAAGGCAAUCCCCUGGGCCUGCACUGACGCUCAUGCACGAAAGCGUGGGGAGCAAACAGG